RNAcentral lists this ribosomal RNA (497 nucleotides) under uncultured bacterium. RNAcentral describes it as "partial 16S ribosomal RNA". It matches the Rfam family "Bacterial small subunit ribosomal RNA", at positions 28 to 507 of the family's 1533-position model. The record is from RNAcentral.
GAUGAACGCUGGCGGCGUGCCUAAUACAUGCAAGUCGAACGCAUAGCGAAAGGUGCUCGCACCUUUCAAGUGAGUGGCGAACGGUUGAGUAACACGUGGACAACCUGCCUCAAGGCUGGGGAUAACAUUUGGAAACAGAUGCUAAUACCGAAUAAAACUUAGUGUCGCAUGACCCAAAGUUAAAAGGCUCUUCGGCGUCACCUAGAGAUGGAUCCGCGGUGCAUUAGUUAGUUGGUGGGGUAAAGGCCUACCAAGACAAUGAUGCAUAGCCGAGUUGAGAGACUGAUCGGCCACAUUGGGACUGAGACACGGCCCAAACUCCUACGGGAGGCUGCAGUAGGGAAUCUUCCACAAUGGGCGAAAGCCUGAUGGAGCAACGCCGCGUGUGUGAUGAAGGCGUUCGGGUCGUAAAGCACUGUUGUAUGGGAAGAACAGCUAGAAGAGGAAAUGAUUUUAGUUUGACGGUACCAUACCAGAAGGGGACGGCUAAAUACGUG